This 295-nucleotide unclassified non-coding RNA is filed under the name Hevea brasiliensis (rubber tree). The record is from RNAcentral. Lineage: Eukaryota; Viridiplantae; Streptophyta; Magnoliopsida; Malpighiales; Euphorbiaceae.
UAUUUUUAUGAUUUUUUUUUUUUUGGUUCAUACUAUUGUCAAGUUGCAGUAGCAGUGAACGUCAGUAGCUUAAAUGCUUAAUUGCCGUGGGAGAAACUCUUGUAGAGCCGCAAUCUUUGUUUUUUGACAUAACUAGAUUGGAGUUCAUAUUCAUUAUUGUAAACUCAAUAGUGUUUUUGGUAAUUACGCAAGGGUAUUCUCGGUAGCUUUUGCUUAUGAGAUACAUUCAAGGUAAAUAAUUUUGAAUUUGCAGUAAGAGUCAACAUUAGUAGCUUAAUUGCCGUGGGAGAAACUC